RNAcentral lists this unclassified non-coding RNA (247 nucleotides) under uncultured fungus. Its description in RNAcentral is "partial contains 5.8S ribosomal RNA, internal transcribed spacer 2, and large subunit ribosomal RNA". Lineage: Eukaryota; Fungi. The record is from RNAcentral.
AACGCACAUUGCGCCCAUUAGUAUUCUAGUGGGCAUGCCUAUUCGAGCGUCAUUACGACCCCUAAGCCCCUGUUGCUUAGCGUUGGGAAUCUACGGCGUAGUUCCUUAAAAUCAGUGGCGGAGUUAGGGUACACUCUCAGCGUAGUAAUUUCUCUCGCUCGUGUGGUGGCCUUGGCUGCUAGCCGUUAAACCCCCCUAUAUUUUAGUGGUUGACCUCGAAUUAGGUAGGAAUACCCGCUGAACUUAA